UCUCUGUUUCGGACGUUCGAUGUAGAGGAAAAGAACAUCGUUAUGAGAUAGGCAUGUGUCCCAUUAGAGAGUUGGUGAGGUAACGGCUCACCAAGACGACGAUGGGUAGGGGAACUGAGAGGUUGAACCCCCACACUGGUACUGAGACACGGACCAGACUCCUACGGGAGGCAGCAGUGAGGAAUAUUGGUCAAUGGGCGAGAGCCUGAACCAGCCAAGUCGCGUGAAGGAUGACUGUCUUAUGGAUUGUAAACUUCUUUUAUACGGGAAUAACAAGAGUCACGUGUGACUCCCUGCAUGUACCGUAUGAAUAAGCAUCGGCUAACUCCGUGCCAGCAGCCGCGGUAAUACGGAGGAUGCGAGCGUUAUCCGGAUUUAUUGGGUUUAAAGGGUGCGUAGGCGGCCUGUUAAGUCAGCGGUGAAAUCUAGGAGCUUAACUCCUAAAUUGCCAUUGAUACUGGCGGGCUUGAGUGUAGAUGAGGUAGGCGGAAUGCGUGGUGUAGCGGUGGAAUGCAUAGAUAUCACGCAGAACUCCGAUUGCGAAGGCAGCUUACUAAGGUACAACUGACGCUGAAGCACGAAAGCGUGGGUAUCAAACAGG
Molecule: ribosomal RNA, 601 nt
Filed under: uncultured Porphyromonas sp.
Lineage: Bacteria; Pseudomonadati; Bacteroidota; Bacteroidia; Bacteroidales; Porphyromonadaceae
Description: bacterial SSU rRNA
Rfam family: Bacterial small subunit ribosomal RNA
Source: RNAcentral